This is a long non-coding RNA of Triticum aestivum (bread wheat), 2922 nucleotides long. RefSeq lists it as uncharacterized. The record is from RefSeq and is a predicted model, not a curated record. The transcript has 5 exons. Lineage: Eukaryota; Viridiplantae; Streptophyta; Magnoliopsida; Poales; Poaceae.
GCAGAUUUGCAAAGGAAAAAAACACAACAACACACGCACGGGCUCGCCUCCUCUCCCUCUCGCCCAUUAAGUCGCCGCCGCCGCCGCCCACACCGGCCGCUUCCGGCGACCUCCAGCGUCGCGCAGCAUGCCCCCGAGCUCCCCACGGUCCGCGCCUUCCUUCCCUCCGGCUAGAUUCUCCGCUCCCGGACUCUACCACACGCUCGCAACCCCACCCCGUGGCUAGGGUUUCGGGCAGGGCUUCGCCGGCGCGUCUCCGGCGACCCCAGAUGCAGAUGGAGCACGCCGUUAGAUUUCCCCAUCCACCACGGUCGCCGCCGUCAAGGGCUUCUUCACGGAUCUGGGACGCCAUGGACAUGCAGCUCCUCAAGGACUUUCUAUUGAAACAUCUUGUCCAUCAUGUGUAGAACACGAUGCACCGUUAAGUCAAGGUUCAGGACGACGUAUAUCGUAGCCCCAUGCUGGCUUUUUCCAAUGCAGGACCUUCUACAUCUCUGCAUAUCGAUCCAUUUUGGACCUCAGUAGAAAAUUCAUCAUUUUAGUGUCCAUCUGAAGAAUCACAUCGUGAUAGGAACAAGGACAAUGGCUGGCAUGUUGGUAGGAAUCUGAGAUGAUAAAAAAUAGUACUCAUCCAACUGCUAACUGAAUAUGCUGGAAAUUAGCUCAUAGUUACACAUAUAUUAUUACUGGGGCAGUACUGUCCUAGACUUGCAUAUUCAGAAUUAAUUGAUCUCACACAGUAGUGCCAUUUGUCGACACACCGUAUGAUAUAUGAAUAAAACCAUAAAAGUGUAUAUGAAACUUUAUAAUCUGGCACUUCGUUUCAUGCCUACAUCAAUGCAAUGUCCUUUUUAUGUUAUCAUGGCAUACAUAGAUAAUUAAAUGAGGAUUCUUUGAUAAUGUCUCCAUCUCUUGAGCUAAGCACAUGCUGUCAACAUCAUGGAACGACAUGGAGCUGCAGACAUGCACUUUGGAGCAGAGGUUGACUUGCAGCUGCGUCUGCAAUCUCCCAAACAAAUGAGCAGCACCAUGCAGUUGUGGGCUUGCAGCAGGUUGGCGGGCGAAUGGUCAUAGCAGGAAUACAACGGGCAUGUCGACUGCUGCGAGUAUUCCAUUCAAGUCGACAACUACAUUUGCAAGAGUUUUACACCACCGUAUGAUCGAUGAAUUCGAGGUCUGAGGCCCGUCCAGGGGCUAGAGCAGAUUCAUCGGACGGUGGAGUUGAGUGACCCACUCAUUGAUACCAGGUGUGCUCAAGUGAAGCCAGGGAUUUGAUCCAUCCAUCUCGGAGCGCAUGAAUCAACAGAGGAUCCAUCCAGUCAAACAAGUGAAUUUAGGCUUGAUUAAUUAGCAGGAGCAUACGAGUGUCUUUUGCACAUGUAGUUUAGGUUUGUACAGGUUCAGGUAGUCAACUGUUAAGCAUGGUAGGAUCCGCAAGCUGGGCAGUAGGCAGCGUCACGGUACGAUCCAGCAGGACGGCGGAGGAGGCGGCCCGUGGUGACUGGGGAGGAUACAAAGGGGGAUGGAGAGGUUGCGGGAAAUUUAUGGGUCUGGACUGGAGCAGAGGGAGAUAGAGAAUGGGUGAGAAAGAUGGAGAUGUUGAUAGGUAAUACCUGUUGGAAAGAGAUGUUGAUAGUUUACUUUUCUUCAUCUCCAACGCAACUAUCAACUGAUGCGCUGACUGUAUCAUCACAGUUCUCAUGUAAGCAAAGGAUCUUGCUUCUUCCCAAAUUAGAUUUUGAAGUAUUUCACUUCUAUUGUUUCUCCAGGUAUACUGCAUUUGAUCACGGUUCUCAUGUGAUCGGCUACCUGCAGAUCUACAUACUAGGGCGAUAAUAUGCAAUGUAGGAGUCUUGACCAUCCAAUGAUUUAUUUGUGUUUGGUUUUGCUGCAUCGGUCAAUAUGUGCAUAUCCUUGGAUGUAGUAUUGCUUUUCCUAAGUGUGUUUUGUAGAUCAGAUAAUGAUUCGCAAUGUACUAGGAGGUUUGGACAGCAAGUGAUUGUCACCAACACCAAGGAUCAGGUUCCUGCCAGAAGAACCCAAAGCAGAGCAAGAGAAGGAAAAUGAAGGUGAAGUUGCAGGUUCUGUUGGAGAGAGGGCUUCAUCACAUACUUGCUGCGAAGGCCAUGUUGUCGAGGAGCCGGUGACUGCCGCUCCAGCUGCCUCGCGCCAUGCCCCGUCGUGUGGGGUGCAUUGUGAGAGUUCUGCAUCAGGCUCGCGCCACCGCUCCGGCAGCUAAUAGGCAGUAUUGGUGUCGACUGGAGCAACUAGAGUCGCUAGCUGUUAUGCUAAAAGAAUAGGGUGGAUUUGCUUCAUGCAAGAAGACAGUAAGGAUAAAGCAGCAAAAAGCAGGCCAUUAGUGGUGAUGGAUAAUUUCUCCAAUCAAUUUAACGUAGAUGCCUUCCAACAUUGCACACUAAGCGAUUGCAUUUUUUAGAUAUAUAGAAAGGUGGCUUCUGUUUUCAAGAAAGUUGGCAUGGCGUGAUUGUUAAUUUUUUAUGCCAACAAUUACAUACGCUUGGCUGACAAGCAUACAUUCUGAAAUGAUAUUGACAUUAGACCGAACCUUUAAACCUAGCAUAUUUAUUUUUCUCACCUAAUGAUUUUUAUUAUGUAUGAUAUGUAUUGCAUAGACUGCUGGCUUUGACAUUACAAUCUGGAACUAAAUAAAUAAAAAUAGAGAAAUUCAUAUAGUGGCAGUAAAGUGCUAACAAGUUAUAAUCUGUUUUUAGUUGCAUUACAGUAAGAGGAAACCUUUAUUUUACUUGUGAGCAUUGUAAUUGUUUGCGAAGGGCUAAUGUUAAUAAGAUAUGCAUACAAAUCUUAGCCUGGAGGCCGUGCUUUGUUCAAAGUAGCUGGGUAUAUGUACAAUAAAUAAAUAUUCAUGUGUUAUCUUGGUACUGUACAAUAUUGUUGAGAGUG